GCAUUGGUGGUUCAGUGGUAGAAUUCUUGCCUUCCAUGAAUGACACCAGGGUUUGAAUCCCGACCAGUGCA
This 71-nucleotide transfer RNA is filed under the name Loxodonta africana (African savanna elephant). It matches the Rfam family "tRNA". From Rfam's summary of the family: Transfer RNA (tRNA) molecules are approximately 80 nucleotides in length. Their secondary structure includes four short double-helical elements and three loops (D, anti-codon, and T loops). Further hydrogen bonds mediate the characteristic L-shaped molecular structure. tRNAs have two regions of fundamental functional importance: the anti-codon, which is responsible for specific mRNA codon recognition, and the 3' end, to which the tRNAs corresponding amino acid is attached (by aminoacyl-tRNA synthetases). tRNAs cope with the degeneracy of the genetic code in two manners: having more than one tRNA (with a specific anti-codon) for a particular amino acid; and 'wobble' base-pairing, i.e. permitting non-standard base-pairing at the 3rd anti-codon position. The record is from Rfam by way of RNAcentral. Lineage: Eukaryota; Metazoa; Chordata; Mammalia; Proboscidea; Elephantidae.